This 490-nucleotide ribosomal RNA is filed under the name uncultured bacterium. Its description in RNAcentral is "partial 16S ribosomal RNA". It matches the Rfam family "Bacterial small subunit ribosomal RNA", at positions 30 to 507 of the family's 1533-position model. The record is from RNAcentral.
AUUGAACGCUGGCGGCAGGCCUAACACAUGCAAGUCGAACGGUAACAGGAAACAGCUUGCUGUUUCGCUGACGAGUGGCGGACGGGUGAGUAAUGUCUGGGAAACUGCCUGAUGGAGGGGGAUAACUACUGGAAACGGUAGCUAAUACCGCAUAACGUCGCCAGACCAAAGAGGGGGACCUUCGGGCCUCUUGCCAUCGGAUGUGCCCAGAUGGGAUUAGCUAGUAGGUGGGGUAACGGCUCACCUAGGCGACGAUCCCUAGCUGGUCUGAGAGGAUGACCAGCCACACUGGAACUGAGACACGGUCCAGACUCCUACGGGAGGCAGCAGUGGGGAAUAUUGCACAAUGGGCGCAAGCCUGAUGCAGCCAUGCCGCGUGUAUGAAGAAGGCCUUCGGGUUGUAAAGUACUUUCAGCGGGGAGGAAGGGAGUAAAGUUAAUACCUUUACUCAUUGACGUUACCCGCAGAAGAAGCACCGGCUAACUCCGUG